AAAAUAAAUUGGAACCCGGGGCGUAGUCCAGUUAAGUUGUCCGUGGACGGGGAGGGGCGGGGUAUGUUGGACCUUCUGUGUGGGUGGUGCAGGGCAUCAUGGGUUCUUUUGCGCUGCGUGUUUCCGGGCCGUGCUGGGUGUGUCGGCUUGUCGAUGGUUGAUGACAUUCUGUCCCUGGCUGGCUCACGGGUUCUCUGGUUUCUCCGCUGUGGGAGGGGUCCUGUGGUCAUGAAUGUUCUUUGGAGUUCGUGCGUUUUGCCGGGGGGUCUCAGUAUCCUUCUCGUGGGCUCUCGGGGCUGGCGCCGUGCAGGGGUUGCCCUUGGAAAUGUU
This 330-nucleotide long non-coding RNA is filed under the name Androctonus crassicauda. The record is from RNAcentral. Lineage: Eukaryota; Metazoa; Arthropoda; Arachnida; Scorpiones; Buthidae.